Molecule: long non-coding RNA, 947 nt
Organism: Leptopilina heterotoma
Lineage: Eukaryota; Metazoa; Arthropoda; Insecta; Hymenoptera; Figitidae
Exons: 3
Source: RefSeq, a predicted model, not a curated record
AUGUUAAUAUUUUUGUCUAAAUUUGAUUCCUCGAUUUUUUCUGCUGGCGGAAUGAGUAUAGAAAAAUUAAAAAAAAAAUAAUUAUAUAGUUCAUAAUCAGUCGCUGGAAUGAGCAGCUGACUUUGAGAACUAGUUUUCUUUGGAAGACAUUGUUCGGGUCAUAUAUACGUUUUGUUUCGAAACAAAGAGAAGAAAAUUUUGAAUAGUGAUAUAUGUUGUUUGUAUAUGAAUUUUAAUUUUGUGACAUGAAUUCAUCAUAGCCGAAAAACUGUGAGAAUGUACUUCAAUCAAGAUAAACAUGAGUGAAAAUGCGUGAUGAUAAACUUAGAUGAUAAACUGAGAGGAACUUUUAUGUGUACCGUCAUCGGGUAUGCUGUGUUCUGUUGGUAAGAGAUCCGUCGAUAUGACCUUAGGAGUGCUAAGGAGUUUUCCAACAUACCAGAAUCGAUUGGAGAAUAUAAGAAUAAACUGGCAGCCUUUACCAUACGAUUGCACAGGGACUUCAAAAAAUCUCGGGCUGGUAAUGUCGUUCACUUUUUAUCUGUUAUACAAGAAAUAAAAUAAAAUCUUCUGUAAUUUGUAAUCAUAACACCAGACUAGAGAUGUCACUUCAAUCAGGAACUUGGAAACAACGAAAAGAAUGUUCUGAGGCAGAUAAAUAUUUCCCCUAUUAUUUAUCAAUGAAAUAAUUUUUAUCUCUGAUUAUAUUAACAAAUUAUCUAACAAUGUAAUUUUAUAUAAUAAUCAGUAAUGCAUUACUGAUUAGACUUAACCUGUAUUUUCGGUUGUUACAGUAUCAGUCACCCCCGUUUUCUAACUUGACCCCCUCUACUAAAUUGAUUACAUCUCGACUCUCUACCCUCCGUGCUCUUUUAAUUGAAUUACAAAGUCAGAAUCAUCUAAUGUUAUGUGAACUUUGCGGCGCGGUCCUUUUUUUCUAUUUCUCU